GCCAGGUCAGUAGAGGAGCACUCCUGCAAGCCGCGAGGUUUUUCUCUGGGUAAGGAAAGGAGAAGGGGGUCUUUAGAGAGGGCAGAUUAAGGAAACCUCGGCCACAAGCUACGAGGAGCCCUUGCGCCCACCUCUGAGCCCCCUCUGCCUUUCUAAAGCGUGGCCCUAAGACCAUCUCCUCCGCUAUCCUCCUCACUCUCCAACUGCACUCCUGCUCGUAACUGGGACCUCGCCAAUGUGUCCCCCAGGACCCCCGCUUUCCCACGCUGCACCCUAAUUUUAGGUAGGGCUCUGUGUGCUCUUCGCCCUCCCGUGGUGCCACACCAGGGCUGGUCCACCUUCGUCGCCUGACCUUCGCCUUUGACCUCUUCUUCGCAAUAACAUAGGAAUAAAGUCCGACGUCCUCUAAACAAAGCCCUUAUCACCUGAUUUGAAGUGGUGUGACCUUUCGCGCAGCCCUGGGGUGCCCGAGCUGUGACCAGACCCCGCUCGGCUCCUGGGGUGCCCCGUCCUCGCGCUGGUGGUCACGCUGCCAUUGGUGUGCAGCACCCACCACGCAGGGAUGCUUCCUACUUAUUUAGGCACCUGCUGCUUUCAAGGUUUACAGCCGUGCAUAUGGUUAGGAGGGCUGGAAUUGGCAGCCGAUCGCCUGACAGAAUAAUGGCUAACUGGAAAAAUAGCUGGGUAUGUAAUUCACAGAUGAUACGACCACAUCAAAAUCAGUGGAACACAAACUAUUCAUUUUUACAGUCUCCAGAUUGCUGUCUGUUGUGACCUGUUCCUCCUGAUUGCUCCUCUGUCGCGCUGCCGAUCACCUCUCCUCCCACCGGCACCCGUGGUGGGGAGGACAACGACGAGCCUCAGCGCCGCGGGGCAGGACACGAUGGACAUCUCAAUUUCUGGAGAAUUGUGUGGUUUAGAUAUGGACAGGAGCCAAAGCAUCGGUACCACCAGGUCCGUGUCUAUGCAGAAAGUGGGUCUGCACAUCAGCGGCGUGGAGGGUGCCCUGAGGUUUGUAACCCAUAUCUUGUUCCUCUCCCAACCACCACCAGGGCUUCCAGCCCUGUGGGAUCUCCUGGGGCUCUGACAGCCCAGCAGGUCUUGGACCUCCAGCUCUCAAAGCUGUCCUUGCUCUGAAAGGAGCCAAACAGCCCUCGGUUGGUACGUUUCCAAACUUUGAAAUUGUCGGGGUUUGAACCCAAACUGGCUACGGUGAAGCAAUCGCAAAACCAGCAAUAAAACUGGUGAAGAAACAGAGUUUGGUUACACCAACAGUAUUUAACCUUCUGCAGAUAUCUCUGUCUUUCCUGUUGGAAAAUUGUCUGAAAAAAGUUGCCCUUCAAAAAAUGAGUGCUUUUCUGAAUGUACUGUUAUUUUAAAUCUGGGCAGAACUUCUUCUUCAUGCUGUUUUUCUCCCUCAGUGUUUCUCGGUGGGGGAAAUGACAGUAAAAAGGGUGAGAGAGUGGGAACCAUGAAAUGCAGACGUGGAAUCUGGAAAAAAGGUCUUUUUCUAAGAACUGGAAAUAUUUCAUCUCCAAAUAAAUGGCUUUCUAUACAAAUAU
Harpia harpyja (harpy eagle) is the source of this 1562-nucleotide long non-coding RNA. RefSeq lists it as uncharacterized. The record is from RefSeq and is a predicted model, not a curated record. Lineage: Eukaryota; Metazoa; Chordata; Aves; Accipitriformes; Accipitridae. The transcript is spliced from 2 exons.